CCUACGGUGGGCAGCAGUGGGGGAUAUUGCACAAUGGGGGAAACCCUGAUGCAGCGACGCCGCGUGUGGGAAGACGGUCUUCUGGAUUGUAAACCACUGUCCCCAGGGACGAGAAUGACGGUACCUGGGGAGGAAGCUCCGGCUAACUACGUGCCAGCAGCCGCGGUACUACGGGGGGAGCAAGCGUUGUCCGGAAUUACUGGGUGUAAAGGGAGCGUAGGCGGGGAUUCAAGUUGGGUGUAAAAACUAUCGGCUCAAUCGGUAGUCGCACUCAAUACCGCAGCUCUUGAGUGAAGUAGAGGCAGGCGGAAUUCCUGGUGUAGCGGUGAAAUGCGUAGAUAUUAGGAGGAACACCAGUGGCGAAGGCGGCCUGCUGGGCUUUUACUGACGCUGAGGCUCGAAAGUGUGGGGAGCAAACAGGAUUAGAUACCCUAGUAGUC
Molecule: ribosomal RNA, 440 nt
Filed under: uncultured bacterium
Lineage: Bacteria
Description: partial 16S ribosomal RNA
Rfam family: Bacterial small subunit ribosomal RNA
Source: RNAcentral